UACGUAGGGGGCUAGCGUUAUCCGGAAUUACUGGGCGUAAAGGGUGCGUAGGUGGUUUCUUAAGUCAGAGGUGAAAGGCUACGGCUCAACCGUAGUAAGCCUUUGAAACUGGGAAACUUGAGUGCAGGAGAGGAGAGUGGAAUUCCUAGUGUAGCGGUGAAAUGCGUAGAUAUUAGGAAGAACACCAGUGGCGAAGGCGAUUCUCUGGACUGUAACUGACGCUGAGGCUCGAAAGCGUGGGGAGCAAACAGG
This 252-nucleotide ribosomal RNA is filed under the name uncultured bacterium. RNAcentral's name for it is "partial 16S ribosomal RNA". It matches the Rfam family "Bacterial small subunit ribosomal RNA", at positions 524 to 776 of the family's 1533-position model. The record is from RNAcentral.